RNAcentral lists this transfer RNA (88 nucleotides) under Planctomycetota bacterium. RNAcentral describes it as "tRNA-Leu". It matches the Rfam family "tRNA". Rfam says of the family: Transfer RNA (tRNA) molecules are approximately 80 nucleotides in length. Their secondary structure includes four short double-helical elements and three loops (D, anti-codon, and T loops). Lineage: Bacteria; Pseudomonadati; Planctomycetota. The record is from RNAcentral.
GCCCGGGUGGCGGAAUUGGUAGACGCGCAUGGUUCAGGUCCAUGUGCCCGCAAGGGCGUGGGGGUUCGACUCCCCCCCCCGGGCACCA